CUAUACNUGCAGUCGAGCGGACAGAAGGGAGCUUGCUCCCGGAUGUUAGCGGCGGACGGGUGAGUAACACGUGGGUAACCUGCCUGUAAGACUGGGAUAACUCCGGGAAACCGGAGCUAAUACCGGAUAGUUCCUUGAACCGCAUGGUUCAAGGAUGAAAGACGGUUUCGGCUGUCACUUACAGAUGGACCCGCGGCGCAUUAGCUAGUUGGUGGGGUAAUGGCUCACCAAGGCGACGAUGCGUAGCCGACCUGAGAGGGUGAUCGGCCACACUGGGACUGAGACACGGCCCAGACUCCUACGGGAGGCAGCAGUAGGGAAUCUUCCGCAAUGGACGAAAGUCUGACGGAGCAACGCCGCGUGAGUGAUGAAGGUUUUCGGAUCGUAAAGCUCUGUUGUUAGGGAAGAACAAGUGCGAGAGUAACUGCUCGCACCUUGACGGUACCUAACCAGAAAGCCACGGCUAACUACGUGCCAGCAGCCGCGGUAAUACGUAGGUGGCAAGCGUUGUCCGGAAUUAUUGGGCGUAAAGGGCUCGCAGGCGGUUUCUUAAGUCUGAUGUGAAAGCCCCCGGCUCAACCGGGGAGGGUCAUUGGAAACUGGGAAACUUGAGUGCAGAAGAGGAGAGUGGAAUUCCACGUGUAGCGGUGAAAUGCGUAGAGAUGUGGAGGAACACCAGUGGCGAAGGCGACUCUCUGGUCUGUAACUGACGCUGAGGAGCGAAAGCGUGGGGAGCGAACAGGAUUANAUACCCUGGNAGUCCACGCCGUAAACGAUGAGUGCUAAGUGUUAGGGGGGUUUCCNCCCCCUUAGUGCUGCAGCUAACGCAUUAAGCACUCCCGCCCUGGGGGAGU
This 854-nucleotide ribosomal RNA is filed under the name Bacillus zhangzhouensis. Its description in RNAcentral is "bacterial SSU rRNA". It matches the Rfam family "Bacterial small subunit ribosomal RNA", at positions 49 to 873 of the family's 1533-position model. Lineage: Bacteria; Bacillati; Bacillota; Bacilli; Caryophanales; Bacillaceae. The record is from RNAcentral.